This 522-nucleotide ribosomal RNA is filed under the name uncultured Geobacteraceae bacterium. RNAcentral describes it as "bacterial SSU rRNA". It matches the Rfam family "Bacterial small subunit ribosomal RNA", at positions 9 to 526 of the family's 1533-position model. The record is from RNAcentral. Lineage: Bacteria; Pseudomonadati; Thermodesulfobacteriota; Desulfuromonadia; Geobacterales; Geobacteraceae.
GAGUUUGAUCCUGGCUCAGAUUGAACGCUGGCGGUAUGCUUUACACAUGCAAGUCGAACGGCAGCACGGGGGCAACCCUGGUGGCGAGUGGCGAACGGGUGAGUAACAUAUCGGAACAUAUCCGGAAGUGGGGGAUAGCUCGGCGAAAGCCGGAUUAAUACCGCAUAUGCCCUGAGGGGGAAAGGGGGGGAUCGCAAGACCUCUCGCUUUCGGAGUGGCCGAUAUCAGAUUAGCUAGUUGGUGGGGUAAAGGCUCACCAAGGCGACGAUCUGUAGCUGGUCUGAGAGGACGACCAGCCACACUGAAACUGAGACACGGUCCAGACUCCUACGGGAGGCAGCAGUGGGGAAUUUUGCGCAAUGGGGGAAACCCUGACGCAGCAACGCCGCGUGAGUGAUGAAGGCUUUCGGGUCGUAAAGCUCUGUCAGAGGGGAAGAAAUGGAAUUGGUUAAUACCCGAUUUCCUUGACGGUACCCUCAAAGGAAGCACCGGCUAACUCCGUGCCAGCAGCCGCGGUAAUAC